CUCAGCCAACGCCAAGGUAUGGCUAAAAUUUUGGAUGUAAAGACAUUUAACAGCCUUGGCGAACUCGGUUGGGAUAACCCUUUAUCAAGGUAUCCCUGAUAACUGAGUAUGAGAUUGAUUUUUGGUACGAGCCAAGCUUUUCAGGAAAUCAUAAGCCCAAUUGUUUAUUUGGUUGAAAUGAGUUGAAAGGUAAUGAAAUUACAGUAUGAUGAGUUAUUUUAAUUCGUCUCCAUUUACUCGCCUUUAGAUAGUUUAGAUAGUGUCUGUUUACUCAUUGGGAUUUUAUACUUUCACCACCCUCAUUUCCUCACAUUUCAGGCUCGGGGAAUUCCAUAGUUAGCUGACUUUGACAAGGACCUUCAUUUCGACUUGAAUCAGCAAAAGCUGUAGGUUUUCAGCCUCCGAUACAUUUUGGUUAGAUGUGGACCCACGUGUCAUUGUAAAAGUAAUUUUAUGCUUUGGUUAUUUGCUUUAUAGUAUAUAUGAAUAUAAUUAACUUUCACGCUAUAAGAAUUAUUUACCGAUAGCUUUAUAAAAAAAUUAUUUUACAAGAAAAUAGUUUAUUUUAUUAAAUAUUUUUAUUAUAUUCAAAUGGUCAAAUUUUCACUUCAAAUGAAUGUUUUAGAUACUUAAUUUGUUUUUAAAUCACUAAAUAUAUAUUUUCUGCUUACCUACUACAUUUUUAGCAAGUUUUGAGAUUUUUGAAGAAAAAUGACGAAAAUGCCCUUGUGAGCUAGAAAACAAUAUGUUAGGUUCUGAUUUAGAAAUGACUCGUAAUCCUUUGAAUUAUGAUAUUUGAUAACUAUUGCUCACCGAGGAAGUGCGAAACCUGAUAUGAGAGCCUUGCGAGGUUUCGAUCGGCAUUCAGGGUGAAGAAUGUCUGUCGAGGCUUCGCGACGGUUGUCACGGGCUCGAUAGGAGUUUCGGGUCGUGACAAGAAUGAUAUGGAAACUAUAUUCUCCCCCUCAACAUAAGCAUGACUAUUAGAUAAAUAAGCUUAAAGUAAAGUAAUCAAGAGGGGGUGAAUUGGUUAUGAAAUAAUAAUUCCCUUUUUUUGAAUUUUCAACUCAAUUAAAGAAUAAAGAGCAAAGUUAUAAAAACAGAGAAUAAACUAAGUAAGAAACGGUAAAAGAGUAAAGAGUACUUAGCCAAGUUUUUAUAGAGGUUCGACCUUUGAUGCCUACGUCCUCUCCCUUGAUAGUACAACGAGUUCAAAUCCAUUAUCAACUUACCUUUUAGUACAAUAUCAAAUAUAACCUUUAUAACAGAACACCUUUCCAAGGAUCAAGCACAACCUCAACCAAAGUCACUGCCUUUUUAGGAUCAAGCACGACCUUUACAACCAAAAUCCCUUUUUAAGAUCAAAGGUGUUUGCACUAACAUCAUAUGAGGUUCAGACUGGUAAUGUUGUUCUCACAUGUACAAUUCCUGUUUGUGGUUUUGAAGUUUUAGUAUUGUUUGAUCCUGGCUCCACCCCUUGGUUUGUAUCUUUGCACUUUGGGCCAAGAUUAGACAAAUUUUGUAGUGGUUUGAAAGAACCCUUGAUUGUGACUACUUCCUUAGAGAAAGUAUUUAUGGCAAAGUAUGUGUAGGAGUCUUGUGCGGUUCGUGUCAAAGACAAGGACACUUUAGCCAAUCUAGUACUAUUAAUGAUGCUAGAUUUUGUUGUAAUACAGUGUAUGGAUUGGUUAGUGUCUUGUUUCACCGAAGUGGACUACCACUAUAAGCUAGCGAAGUUUAAGUUUCUAAGGGAGCCCUUGUUUGUUUUCUAUGGACAUAAUAGUCUAGUAUCUACUAAGUAAUGUCAAUGUUGGCUGUUACGAGAAUGUCAAGGCAAGAUUGCCAAGGGUACCUAAUGACGAUUGAAGAUGACUCGAGGUGUGAUAAGAAUUUGAAUGUUGUUUCCAGAGUAAUUACUUGGAUUACCUCCCAAUUGGGAGAUUGAGUUCUGCAAUGAUCUAGUUUUAGACACAAGGCCUAUUUCUAUACCUCCGUACUGAAUGGCACUAGUAGAAUUGAGAAAACUCAAGGAAUAAUUGGAUAAUCUAUUGAGUAAGGGUUUUAUUCACCCUAUUGUUUCACCUUCUGGAGCUCUAGUGUUAUUUAUGGAAAAGAAAGAUGGUAACCUCAAAUUGUGUAUUGACUACUAGUAGCUUAACAAAGUCACCAUAAAGAAUAAAGAUCCAUUCAAUUAAUUUGUUUGACCAACUGCAGGAUGUUGUAUGCUUUUAGAAGGUUGAUUUACGAUUUGGGUACCAUUAAUUAAAAAUUCAGGAGAGUGAUGUACCCAAGACAGCGUUCUACACCCAAUGUGGGCAUUAUGAGUUUGGACUCACUAAUGCACCCGUGGCAUAAAUGGACUUGAUGAAUUGAGUUUUACGAGUGCAUUUGGAUAUAUUUGUAGUCUUAUUCAUAGAUGACAUUUUGCUGUAUUUAAGGAGCUCGGAAGAGCACGUGCAACACUUGAGAAUUAUGCUUCAAACCCUUAGAGAGCAUUAACUAUAUGUUCAGUUCAUGAAUUGUGAAUUUUGGUUAAAUAAACUCACCCCUUGGGAUGUUAAUUAAGUUAAGAUAUUAAUUGCCAAUAACGAUGAAUUAUGGCUACUAUUGAUGAGAAAAGUUUUGUGGAAGUGGAGAACUAAAUGUAGAAUUAAAAUAAUAUUAGUUUAUUGAUGUUAGGUGAAUAAGACAGCUUAAUAUUGAAAGUUGAUUUAAGUGAGUUAGAUUUGGCCAAAGUAGGGGAAAGCAAAAAAAUUUCGAAAAAAGGAAGCAUUAAUGAGGCCCACGUGUCUUCAUUAAAUAAAGUAUAAAAGGGUAUGCGUAUAUUUAAAUAUUGUGGUGACACUUGGAUGGAGUGUGAAUUUGAUAUUUAAUUUGUACGUAUAAAGGAAGAAAAAUAGAAAGCAAUCGGACUUAAAAGAAAAGUUGGAGGAUCCAAUUUAAUAUAAAAAAUGUUUGGAAGACUAAAUUGAGAAUGAUGAAAAGUUAGAGUGCCUAUUAGGUUAAGAAUAUUUAAAUAUGUAUAACAAAAAAGAAAUAAAAUGGUGAUAAAAUGGGCGGACAUCACAAAGUUGUCCCCCAUGUAACAACCAAAAAAAAGCAAAAGAUGGGGGGAAGGGGGGCUAUAACGACCAUUUUCUCCGAUUGUUAUCAACGCUCGAGUCUCACAAGCAAGCUCACCAAGUCCCGAGCAAGCCUUCACAAUUAUCCAUUUAACAAACCAUGACAUGUCUCUUGGAAAUCUCAUAACCAUCACAAUUUCAUUUAAAGGCAAAUAUUCUCUCAAUACAUUAUGUUUCAUCAUCAUUAAAAUAUAUGUUUCCAUUUACAAUAAAUGGUAAGUUCCUAAAACCUCUUGACAGCAUAAGGACCUUUAGUAGUGGAGCGACUCAGAAUAAGGUACUAAGAUAUGCCUUUACCUACAUCGCAAUUGACCAUAAUAUGCCGAUGAGAAGCACACUAGCUAAUCACUUCUCUACAAAAUGAGAAUAUUGGGGUAAGUCUCACAGACUCAGUGAUCAUCAGCUCAGUGAGCAGGGUGAAGAUGAGAAACAAGCUAAGGAUAAAAAAAUUUGAAUAUUAAAAGCAUAUGAAUAUGUAAACUAUUUAAAAUCAAAUGGAACAUUUGCGCCUUGCAUAUAAACCAAAGAAUUGUGAUGCAAAGUAACCAUUCAAGUAAUAUAUUAAAAUCGGUGCAACAAAAGAUUUCUACCGUCUAAAUCAUUUGAUGUCCUUUUCUCAAAAUCAGACUAACAUAAGCGCGCACGCUUCCAUAAAAUUAAACAAUAUCUAUGCUUAUACACAAGCAUAUAAAUGAACUCAUACUUAAGGUAUUAAACACAAAACCAUCAUAUAAAUAAGAGAGCUGCGAAAAAACUGGUAUUUCUCACCAUACGAAAGAAUACAUAUUUAAAAACCCUAAAGAGAUAUCACUCUUGAGUAGGUAAUCAUAGAUAAUCAACCUGUGGACCCUCUUCCACGUAAUAACAUCUGGGAGGGCCCCCUUCACUAGAUUCCCACAACCAUGGCAGUCUGAAUGAUGUUGGCUAAUAUCAGAGAAAUCAUAUGGUCACAACCACAUAUAUCAACUUGUGGCCUAGCCAAGUAUAUCAACCCGUGGCCUUGCCACGUAUAUAUCAUAAACUGUGGCCUAGCCUUGUCUAACAGCCCGUCGGUGACCCAAAGGUUCUCUAGCUAGAGCUCACUUGUGCACAAGGGUCACACUAUUCCAAUGUCACAUUCAACCUACUAUCGAAUCUCCUAGUUUGACAAAGCCAUUUAUAACCAAAUUGGGUUUUCAAAAACUUAUUUUAAAUCCAUUUCCAAAAUACAAAUCACAAUAAUGUUAUCAAUCCAUUUGUAAGAAUUCAUGAUUUAAAACCUUUGCAUGAGGUUUAAAUAUUAAAUCAAAGCAUGGUGAACAUAAAGCUUAUUCAUGAAUGUACCUCACAAAAACAAGUAAGGCACAUUUUGACAUAAACCGUGGUAAGGAGCUUGUUCCUCGAUUUCUAAAACGCUUUACAUAUAUAGCUUAUAUAUUAUAUAUAAAGCUAAUUCAAAAAUCAUGGCAUUCAUAAUCGCCUAUCAUUUCUACCAGCUCAUGCUUUCAACAAUAAUAGUGUAUAAAUCCUUUCACAAAUAGGUACUUAAACCACCUAUCAUUUUCUAGCAACUCAUGCUUUCCACAAUGGCAUUGAAUAAAUCAUCGACAAGUUACUAUACAUAUAACAUUAUAUAGUAUGGAAUCUUUUGAAAUAGACACCCCCUAUUCGCCUUUCUUGGCAGGAUAUUACUUCACCAAUUUAAACUCUUUGCGUUCUUAAUCGAUCAAUAUUGCUUGCCGUUUAACUGUUAUCCUUCUUGAUUUACAUGCACGGCAACUAUCCUUUACUUGUCAAUUUCCCGCCUUGCAAUUAAAUCCAAGAUAUUUAGCAACUUUACAAUUUAUUCUAUCCUACACUUGCUGCCCACAUUUAGCUUUAUGCUUUUAUGGCUUAUUCUUCAUUCCCCCUUCUCAUUCAAGUACUAACCAUUAACUAAAUAGUUCAAUUCAUGCUAUGAUUAGCAUUCCUUCACAAAUAAUCUUUUGCACACACGCACAUAUAUAUAGGUAGCAACUUUACCAAAGAAUUCCUAAGUCUUGACAUGCAUAAUUUUCUAUCUUUUACUUUCUUCAAAACAUUACAUUCACAAAACAUCAAAUCUCAUAACUAGUAUAAGCAUUCUUCCUAACCGUACCCAAGAUAGCACAAUCAAUUUACAUUGCAUGCUUACCUUCAACAAUGGUAAGCCCUUUUCUUUGGUAACAUGCAUUCAAAGCCCUUUUCUUUAUACCUCAAUUUCCACCAUUCAACAAUGGUUUGGUAACAUGCAUGCAACUAUGUUCCUUCAAACCUUGUAAAUCUUUGCUGCCACAAACAUUUUCACACAAUCACAAUUUUUUUCCUUAAGAAAUCUAUAACCAAAAUCAAAGUUCCACUUACCAUAACUUGGUUGAACCGUGGAUCAUCGAUAUUCUUUUCCUCUUGAUCCAAAGCUUUUUCUUUCAUAUUUCUUGACCCGUAUAAGAACUAACUCAUAUCUCUUCAAACAAGAUGGAUUUCUAGGAGCAAUGAAGCUUGAUGAUAGGAAUAUGGCAAGAAAUAAGCUCAUGGGUACUAAGAGAAAUGAAGUAGCCAAGCACUUUUCUCUUAACGCUUUCUCUCCUCUUGGGUGAAAGCCUCACAAAGCUAUUUUAUCUUCAUUUCUCUUCCAAAUGGGGUGGAUCUCUCAAGGCAAACACACUUUGGUUGCUUUCUUUUUGAUAUGGGUGGACAUAACAAGAAAUAGGCUUGAAAUGGCCUUGUAAAAGUUCCCAUUUCCUUUCCAUUUCUUUCAUGGGUAGAUUGCCCAAGGCUUGGUCGCUUUUUGGCAUUUUUCUUUUUAAUUCCUUAUUCAUUCCUUUAUCCUUUGGUUAGAUUACCUUGCCCAUGCAAUGGUCCAUCACUUUUGGUUUAUUUCAUUUGCAUUUCAUUUUAAUGUCACCUUAUCAUCCAAUAAUAUUUCAUGCACAUUUCCUCUACCAAUAACCUUUGCCAUCCCAUGAACUAAUAAGACUUCAUGCAUUUUUCCACUCUUGAAUCUUAUUUGGCCUCCUUCAAAACCAAUAGGAUUUCAUGCAAUAUUUAAUUUAUUUCUUUUAUUCUCAAUCUUUUCUCUACCACCAUGUGUAACCACUUAAAUUUAAAGUAUAGCUUUCUUUCAAUUAAAUAUUCUUUGUUCUUUUUUCGUUGUCAUCUUUCACAUGGUGGGAGUCCCACAUGUCCCCCACUAAGCUUUAUCCUUUGUACAUGCAAUCAUUUGCAUGUAAUGGUAACUUCACAUGCAAAUUCCAUCAAGCUAAGUGUGAGACCUCAACCUCUAUAGGCUUGUAACUAAGUAUAGAUGUAAUAAUACGAGCCAGGGGUAGUUUCGUUAUUUUCUCUAAUAAGCUUUCAGAAGAAAGUUUUAUGAUAUUUUAAGGCUUAAAUGGGUAUAAGACUGCAUAAAUGAUGUGUGCUGAUGAAAACAUGAAGAAAACUAGAAGUUUCAACAAUUUUCAUAACAGGGGCAAAAUGGUCGUUUUUCACCUCGAGUUAAAAUUUUAAGUUUUUAUGAACCCGAACAUGUCUAGACCAUCAUGGAUCUUGUCCCAGUGUUAAAAGAGCAAAAAGAUUGCAUAAAAGAUUGGAGGAGAAUAAGUUAAUUGGUGAAGGGGCAUUUUUAUAAUUUUAAGGGAAAGAAUAAGAUUGCCUAUAAAUAUCUUGAAUUUCCAGCAGCUUCUAGAGAUUUUCCAGUAGCUAGUCUUCUUCUUCUUCUCCUCUCUCACGUUUCUUCAAAACUCCAUAGAAGCUUGAUUUGAAGCUUGAAUGAUUUUUUCUCUCUCUAGCUCUAGUUUUCACACCUUUGAACCCUUUUGACUAGAACCUUUGAAUUCUUUCAUCCUCUCACUUCAAAACCCUUGAUAAAGCUUAUUUCCAGACUUUCUCUCACUAGUUGGGCAUUCUAGAGAGAGAAAGAGAGAAUUACUCCAUUGAUUUGGAAGCAAUUGGAAGAGAAUUUGACUACAAAGGAGCCCUAGGGUAAAUAAUGAACUAAGCUCAACUUUUAGCUGUAGAAAAUGGCUAGUAAUUGGGAUUGAUGAGCUGUUUUAUUAUUGACUAUGUUCAUUACUUUUUAGUGAUUAAGAUAGUGAACAUAGAUUGUUGUUUAAUGUGGCAAUUGAAAACUAGCUAAGAGAUAGCUUUUAGAGUUCAUAGUGUGUAAAUUGAUCUAUUGUUUAUGUUAAUGUGAUCCUAGGUUUUAAGAAAGCCCCAUCAUCUCAUUUGGACAAUUAGGGGAAUUGGAGUCAUCUAAAGGCUUUACAAUCAAUUGGUGAGUGGANNNNNNNNNNNNNNNNNNNNNNNNNNNNNNNNNNNNNNNNNNNNNNNNNNNNNNNNNNNNNNNNNNNNNNNNNNNNNNNNNNNNNNNNNNNNNNNNNNNNNNNNNNNNNNNNNNNNNNNNNNNNNNNNNNNNNNNNNNNNNNNNNNNNNNNNNNNNNNNNNNNNNNNNNNNNNNNNNNNNNNNNNNNNNNNNNNNNNNNNNNNNNNNNNNNNNNNNNNNNNNNNNNNNNNNNNNNNNNNNNNNNNNNNNNNNNNNNNNNNNNNNNNNNNNNNNNNNNNNNNNNNNNNNNNNNNNNNNNNNNNNNNNNNNNNNNNNNNNNNNNNNNNNNNNNNNNNNNNNNNNNNNNNNNNNNNNNNNNNNNNNNNNNNNNNNNNNNNNNNNNNNNNNNNNNNNNNNNNNNNNNNNNNNNNNNNNNNNNNNNNNNNNNNNNNNNNNNNNNNNNNNNNNNNNNNNNNNNNNNNNNNNNNNNNNNNNNNNNNNNNNNNNNNNNNNNNNNNNNNNNNNNNNNNNNNNNNNNNNNNNNNNNNNNNNNNNNNNNNNNNNNNNNNNNNNNNNNNNNNNNNNNNNNNNNNNNNNNNNNNNNNNNNNNNNNNNNNNNNNNNNNNNNNNNNNNNNNNNNNNNNNNNNNNNNNNNNNNNNNNNNNNNNNNNNNNNNNNNNNNNNNNNNNNNNNNNNNNNNNNNNNNNNNNNNNNNNNNNNNNNNNNNNNNNNNNNNNNNNNNNNNNNNNNNNNNNNNNNNNNNNNNNNNNNNNNNNNNNNNNNNNNNNNNNNNNNNNNNNNNNNNNNNNNNNNNNNNNNNNNNNNNNNNNNNNNNNNNNNNNNNNNNNNNNNNNNNNNNNNNNNNNNNNNNNNNNNNNNNNNNNNNNNNNNNNNNNNNNNNNNNNNNNNNNNNNNNNNNNNNNNNNNNNNNNNNNNNNNNNNNNNNNNNNNNNNNNNNNNNNNNNNNNNNNNNNNNNNNNNNNNNNNNNNNNNNNNNNNNNNNNNNNNNNNNNNNNNNNNNNNNNNNNNNNNNNNNNNNNNNNNNNNNNNNNNNNNNNNNNNNNNNNNNNNNNNNNNNNNNNNNNNNNNNNNNNNNNNNNNNNNNNNNNNNNNNNNNNNNNNNNNNNNNNNNNNNNNNNNNNNNNNNNNNNNNNNNNNNNNNNNNNNNNNNNNNNNNNNNNNNNNNNNNNNNNNNNNNNNNNNNNNNNNNNNNNNNNNNNNNNNNNNNNNNNNNNNNNNNNNNNNNNNNNNNNNNNNNNNNNNNNNNNNNNNNNNNNNNNNNNNNNNNNNNNNNNNNNNNNNNNNNNNNNNNNNNNNCUCCGUUGGAAGUUGAGUGUUAUUUUGUUUUUUAUAGACAAACUUAAUGUAAAUUAUUAGAAUACAUGUUGUAGACAUUGUAUUUAAAUUUUUAAGGAGUAAUGCCAGUCACGAUUUGGCAAUGUAUAUCACUAUUUGAUUCAAAAGUAUGAAAUAUGACUUAGCGAUAUUUGCUAGAAUGAUGAGUAGGAUAAAUAAAUAGGCUUGCUUGGGCUUAAUGGACUACGUCUAUUAGGCUCUUACGCCGAUCAUGGCCCAAAAAUUUAGGUCGUGACACUAAGCAAUCUCACUUGCAUCCAACUUGAAUUUCAUCUUGCUUUCCAGGAUACAAAUAUAUACAUUCAAUAUCCACUUAAAUUAAAAUGGAGAAAUUGCACAUAAGCCCUUCAAUUUUUCCUUAUUUACCAUUUGACCUUCCAAACUUUUCAUCCUUUACAAUUUGGUCUUUCCAACUUUUCCUAAAUUGCAAAUUGAUUCUUUAAUUUUUUAUAAUUACAACUUCACCCCUUAACCUUUCAUUAUUUACAAUUCCACCCUUCAACAUCUUAUUCCUUUCAAUUAGGUCCUCUCAUCAUUCUUUUCAUUUCAAUUCUUUUCUAUCUUUCUUCCUUUGCACUUAUACAAAUAAAAUAUCAAAUUUAUACUCCAUUAAAGCAUCACUAUAAUAUUUAAAUAUAUACUUACUCUUUCUCACUUAAUUUAUUGAAGGCAUGCCAACCCCACUAAAGCUUCCUUUCUUUGAAAUUUUUCUUACUUUCACUCCCUCACUUAGACAAAUUGUACAAAUCACAUGUUCUUCAUGUAAUAUAACCAAUUUGACAUUGGUAUUAUUUUAAUAUUAUUUUAUCCAACAAGUGAUAUUUUAUUCUAAAAUUUUUUGCUAGCCUUCUAGGGCUCCAAAACAUCUUACUUUGCCCCGAUAUAGCUCUAUAGCACCUUUUAACUCCAUAAGUUUGACUUUAAUAAAAUAUUAUUAUUUUAUCAUGUUGAAAAUAUUUUACUUUGCCCCGAUAUAGCUUUAUAGCACCUUUUAACUCCAUAAGUUUGACUUUAAUAAAAUUUUAUUAUUUUAUUAUUAUUUUAUCAUGUAGAAAAUAUUUUACUUUGCCCCGAUAUAGCUCUAUAGCACUUUUUAACUCCAUAAGUUUGACUUUAAUAAAAUACUAUUAUUUUAUCAUGUAUAAAAUAUUUUAUUCCAAAAUAGUUCUUUCAACCUUUAACACUCUUAAACACUUCAAUUACUCUUCAUCUUAUCCUUAAGGUCAUAUUAGGCAUUAUACCAAAGUACAAGGUGUUAUAGGGGCGAACAAAGCAAUUUUGUCCACCCACGCAAAACAAAAGAAAAAUAAAAGGGAAAAGUUAAAAUAAGCUAAACUUCGGUAAUUUAGCCCUAUUUCGAGAGGAGAAAGGGGUUUUGCAAUUUCUCUCUAAACUAGCACCUUCAAAGCCCUUUUCCAUGAAUUUUAAGCUCCAUGAUACUCAUGUAAGGCUAGAAAAGUGUUAAUGAGGUAAGAAUUGAUACUCUUAGUGCAUUAUUUUUUAUUUAAAUGGUUAAAAAUCUAGAUUUUUCUUAUGUAGCAAUAGGUUGGUAUAUUCGGUUAGAGAAUGGUUUUAAGUUUUCUUGUUUUGCAUUGAAAUGAUUUCUGAACCACCAAGGUAAAGAUUUAAGUGUUGGAAUAUUUGGCAUAAGCUGUGGUUUAGGUUGUUGGUUAAAAUAUAGAAGACUGAUUUAAAUUUGAUGGAUUGAGUUGGAACGUUUGAAUACUAUGAAACUUUUAAUGGAAAGUUUAUUAUAUUGCUAAAAUGUUAUGUCUUCUUUUGAUUUUAAAUUAUUAUUGGAGAAUAAUUGUGGUAGGUAAUGCAUCAGUUAGCUGUGUUAAUGGAAGCUGCUGUGUUUGGGAACAGAAAAGCAUUUUGUUGUGCAGUUUAGAAUCAAAUUAAUUAGUUCCAAGUUAUAUUUUUUUGUUUUGCAGCUCACUCCCACUUGAGAGGCUGAAAAUCAUGAUUCGAUAUCUAGCUACCUUAAUUCCGUGAGGUAAGGGACAAUUGUUGUUGAAAGGGUGAAUUGAGGUUAAAAAAUAAAUUGGUAGAUUAUAUUAAUGAGAUUAUGCAAGGAGCUAGAGAAUUAUUAGUCAUGUUCUAUAAUGGAAAUGGGAUUCGUUUAAAUGAGCUUAACUAGUUAGAUUAAGCUAAAAAUAGAUUACUAUGAGCAUGAGAAAAAUUUUUAAAAGAAAGUAUAAAGCUUAGUUGAGCGAAAUUGUGAAUAGAAUGCUUUAAAUAGCAAUUGGUGGAGUUGUAUAUAUAAGAAAUAAUGCUUCAAAUAGCAAUUGAUGGAGUUGUAUAUAUAAGAAAUAAAUGAAUUUGAUAUGUUCUAACUUUCAUGCAUUAUGUAAUGCUUGUAUGUGAGUUAUAUAGAGGUUUAUGAAAGUAAAUGGAUAUUGGUUGUUAAACUUGGACUUGUACUUAAUGGAGAAAUGAAAUGUUUGAAUGUUAGGAGUCAUAACUGAUGAGAAAAUUUUGGGAAAGCAACAUUUUCUCUUCAGUUCUAGAGACGAUAAAGGUGAUGUUGAGUAGCUAACUUCCACGAAUAAAUUAAGCAAAGUAACAAGAUUAAUAGUUAAAUCUUAGUUCCUAGUAUAAUUACUAAGGAUCUCAUUGUUUGGCUAGGUAUGGCAAAUGUGACUUUCGGUUCAAGGGCUGAAAGGAGUUUAAGAAAGUAGCUAACUUGAUAACUUUUUAACAUAAGAACGGUAGGCAAACAAAGAGGAUUUUAUAAUGAUGUUAAUGCUAGGAAAGGCAUGAUUAAAUCAUCAACGUAACGGACUAACAAAAAUUGAAAUAAAAUAAAAAACCAUGCCUCCUACCUUGGAUCACCUUGGUUGUUUAAUGCAAAGUUAAGCACCUUAUAAAAUCAGAAAAAGUUUUACCUUUCCAAGUGAUAUCGUAAUCAAAUGGAUUCCUUUUGGUGACAAAACGUGAACACCUUUUAUGUGAAAGAAUCCCAGUCACUCAAUUGCUUGACCUCAAUGAUGCACAUACGGUUGCAACGGAUCGUUAUCAAGGAGAGAGCUUUAUGCCAUGAGCUUGUGCUAGCAAGUGGACAACGAUUUGUCCUCUUUUCUUCUUUGAUUUCCAACAAAGAAUCAAAGGAGAAGUUUUCAAAAAAAAAAGAAAAUAAACUUCUCAAGAGUGGCAGCACUCAAGAGGAAAAUCAUUUUUUAUUGUUUCCUUCUCUUUAAAAAAAAAAGAGUGGCUACAAUGUGAUAUUUAUAUCUAGGUUUAACUUAUUAAAAUUUACAAAAUAAGACCUUAAUAUUAUAAAAAUUAUAAUAUUUAACCAAUACCUAAUUAAACUCUUUUAAUUAGGUCUUUAGUAGUUAAAACCUAGAAUUUGAUUUGAGUCUAACUUAAAUCAUCACACUCUCAAUUUAAUCCAAAUUCCAACCUUUGUGUGUGACCAAUUAGGUUCCUAACAUGUUACCAAUGGAAUUGAUUUAUAAUAUUAUUAAUUAAUUAAUUAAUUUCAAUGAAUCAUAUUCAAUUUUAAAUUAACUAAUUCAAUUCCAUAGACCAAGAUUGGCAUCUAGCAAUGCAUCAUGGUCACCCAAUUGUUAGAAGAGUCAAAGAAUUCUUUAAUAACCUUUCAGCGUACAGUUUUUUAGUGUAAUACAUUCCCUCAUCAUAUAUUCCGAAGAUGAUAAAAGCUUGGCACAGUGCCUACUCUUAUUGAUCUCCAUAUUUGUUCUUGCAGUUAGAUCAUUAGCUUUAUGGAGACUUAUGAAACUCAUUUCAUAAUCUCCUAAUCACCUUGACCAAGGAUUUGAUUUAUCUAAUGUCAACCAAGAACUAAUGAGAUAUUUUCCCUUGAAUCACUUGGGGUGAUGAUUCCUAUCUUGACCACUCAUUUGCCUUCAUAUGCUUUAUACUAUACUCAAAAACAUCUUGUUUCGGCAUCCUUGAUUUGGCACCCAUAAGGAUGAAAUCAAAGCAUAGUACUCCACAUACAAAACAACUUGGUGUCUCAAGUCUUAGGAGUAAUUACACAAUUGACACAUGAGAAGUAUUGCAUAGAGACUUGAGUGAGGUACCAAAUGCACUUCUCAUGGCGGGUCAUGUUCAGUGAACUCACUCUUCCAUGGCAAGCACCCACAUGCUAGUUUCAAGUAACUCUAUACUUCAACCUAUGAGAGCGAUUGCUUACUUCACAAGUAAAGAAGAUAACACGUGCCAAUCUUUGAGCAUUAUUGAUGCCUUGUCUUAAUAAUACAAUGACUAGGAACUUUUGGGAACAAUGCUUUAAUGCAUAAGGAUCUCAUAAUUGUAUCCCAAUACAAUUCCUUUGCAAGGGAUAUAUAAUUCCAUGGGCUUUAUCAACGCAUGUACAAAAAGUAAUUAAAUCACAAACUUAUAGCUAAAGAACUACCUCAAUGUUAUUAUAAAUAACAAAAUGUCAUACAUGAAUAUCUCAAAAUUGUAAUUCCCAUACAACCACAGAUUGGCUUGUAAGGCUUAUACUAACAAUCUCCAACUAGCACUAAAGCCAAUCAUCGAUGUAUCUAAUACCAAUGUUCUUAACAUGACGAUUAUGCUUCUGCUGGGACAGUGCUUUAAUGAGAGGAUCAACAAUAUUAUCCUCAAUGGGUAUAUGCUCAAUGCAAAUGUCUCCUCUUCCAAUGAUCUCCCUGAUCACAUGGUAACAUCGUAAUAUAUGUUUGGAUUUCUGAUGAGACCUUGGUUCCUUUGCUUGUGCAAUGGCUGCAUUGCUAUCACAAUACAAAGGUAUUGGAUCAACAAUGCUAGGAACCGCAUCUAGUUCAGUAAUGAACUUCUUAAUCCAAUCUGCCUCUUUUGUUGCCUUACACGUAGAGAUGUAUUCGGCCUCGGUUGUAGAAUCCACAGUCAUCUCUUGUUUGGAACUCUUCCAACUCACUGCACCUCCAUUAAGUGUGAACACAUAUCCACUUUGCAACUUGCUAUCAUCUUUGUUAGUUUGGAAGUUUGCAUCUGUAUAACCCCUAACUUGGAGUUCACCUCAUCCAUAAACUAGAAAUACAUCCUUAACUCUUCGUAAAUACUUUAGAAUGUUUUUUAGAAUUAUCUAGUGACUUUCACCAAGAUUAGCUUGGUAUCCACUCGUGACACUUAAAGCAUAAGAUACAUCUGGUCUAGUGCAAAACAUCGCAUACAUGAUAGAUCCUAUUGUUGAAGCAUAUGGGAUCUUAGCUAUUCGAUCUCUCUCUUCUUAAUUAUUUGGACACAUGUCCUUGGAGAGAUAAAUGCCUUCCGACAUAAGCAAGUGUCCUUUCUUGGACUCUAUCAUGCUAAACCUCUUUAGCACCAUGUCUAUGUAUAUGGAUUGGGAAAGACCUAGCAACCUUUUAGAUCUAUCUCUGUAGAUCUUUAUUCCUAGAAUGUAAGUUGCUUCUCCCAAAUUUUCGUAGAUUGUAGCGAUGGUAUAUCAUUUCUUGUGAGCAAUAUGUAAUCAACAUAUAGCACUAUGAAAAUUAUGGCACUCCCACUAACCUUUUUGUAGACACAUGGUUCAUCUUCUUUUUUUAUGAAGUCAAACCUUUUUACAGCUUCAUCAAAAUGGAUGUUCCAACUUCGAGAAACUUGCUUAAGUCCUUAAAUGGACUUUUGAAGCUUGCACACCUUAUUAGUAUUAGCAUUGGAUAUAAAACUUUCAAGUUGUGUCAUGUACACUUCUUCUUGCAAGUUUCCAUUAAGGAAUGUAGCUUUUACAUCCAUUUCCCAUAUUUCAUAAUCAUGGUAUGCAGCAAUUACAAGCAAAAUACUAAUGAAUUUAAGCAUAGCAAUUGGUGAAAAGGUUUAUUCAAAGUCAAUACCUUGUCUUUGUUUGUAACCUUUUGCUACCAAUCUAGCUUUAAAGGUUUGCACCUUGCCAUCUACAUCGGUCUUUCUCUUAAAGACCCACUUGCACCCAAUGGGUUUUAUCCCUUCAGGUGGAUCCACCAAAAUCCAUACUUGGUUGGUAUCCAUGGCAUCCAUUUCAGAUUUCAUGGCUUCUAGCCAUUUCUCAGCAUCGAUGUCCAAAGUUGCCUCCUCAUAGGUUGUAAGCUCAUCAUUUAUGAACAAUGUGUCCCUUUCCAAGAGAAAUCCUUAUCUCUUUGGAGCUUGACAUAUUCUACUAGACAUUUUAAGUAGUUAUGCCUCUUGAGAUUUUGGUUGUACAUCAGAUGUCAUAAUCUCAAGCUCAAGCUCUAAUGGAAUGUCAAUUUGUGGGACUUAAACUUCUUCAAGUAUAACUUUACUCCCACUAGACUUUUCAUUUAAGAACUCUUUCUCAAGGAAAGUCGCAUGCCUUGAGGCAAACACCUUUUGCUUAGUGGGAUUAUAAAAAUAAUAACCAAGUGUUUCUUUAUGAUAUCCCACAAAUUUACAUUUGUCUAAUCUCGCUUCUAGCUUAUCAAACAUUGUACGCCUCACAUAAGCAGUACAUCCCCAAAUCUUGGCAUAAGACAAGUUGGACCUUUUCCUACUCUAUAUCUCAUAUGGUGUCUUAUCAACUAAUUUGGUAGGAACCUAGUUUAAUAUGCGAGCAACAAUUUCUAGAGCAUAUCCCUAAAAAGAUAUAGAAAUAUCUACACGACUCAUCAUGGAUCGAAUCAUGUCCAAUAAUGUUCGAUUCUUUCUCUCAGACACCCCAUUGUGUUGUGCAGUCCUAGAGGAGUCCAUUGUGCAAGAAUCCCAUUCUCUUUUAGAUAAUCCUAAAACUCUUGGCUAAGAUAUUCUCCUCCUCGAUCAUAUCUAAGAGUAAGAAUACUCUUCCCAAUUUGUUUCUCAACCUCUGCUCUAAAUUCUUUGAACUUGUCAAAGGAUUCAGAUUUAUAUUUCAUCAAAUAUACAUAACCAUAGUGAGAAUGGUCAUCUGUGAAGGUGAUGAAGUAGGAGUAUCCUCCUCUAGCACUAGUAUUCAUAGGACCACAUACAUCUGAAUGUACAAGUCUUAGAAAGAACAAAAAUUGCCCUUAAUGCAAAAUUUCAUAUAAUGUCAAGUAUGACACAAAUAUGAUAUUUCAAGAUAUGGAAGGAACAUAGUAACAGUCUCUUAAUUCCAAGAUCAACCUAGAAGGUAAAGGUAUGGUAACUGUCCCCACAGCCAAUGCAGUAACCUUUGCUUUAUUUCCUACUCUUAAGACCACCUUUCCUUUCGUUAAUCUUUUACUCGUUUCCAGCACCUUCAUGUCAUUACAUAAGUGUGACCCACAUCUAGUAUCUAAUACCCAUGAUGAUGGAUCAGUAGUACACAGAUUUACUUCAAUCAUACGCAUGGUCAAAGGUGAAACUUCUACAAGUUUCUCAUUCUUUGACCUUGUCAAGAAGGCAAGGAUAUCUUCCUUAAUGACAUCUAUUCUAAAUAGAUAUUUGAGAACAUUUCUCAACUUGAUAUACCAAUCCAAACAUUUUGGCCCGAAUUUCAUGAUGACAUCAAGUACGCCACACAAAGUAAUGUGUAUUCGCAUUCUAACAACCUAGACAUUUAAAGAAUGUUUAUGAGUAAUCAUGUAUUAUAAUCAAUUAAGAUGAGAUAGUAAAUCUUAAAUUAAUUGCUCCCACUAUUUUCUUCAAGAUGAUAACCCUCCAUAUCACCUCGAGAGAUCUCUACAAGGAUUCUCUUAGUGGGCUAAGAUCCUUAUCCAUUCUAAUCAUGACCUUGAGUGUGCUCAACAAACCAUGAUAGCUAGAUUAUGUAGGUAACUAAGCUUACCAAUUGUAUCUCUAUACAACUCCUAGAUCAACUAGGUGGCAACACAUUGCCUAAAAAUAUCAUAUAUGUUUCGCCUAGCCAUUGCCUCUAGUUUCCAUAAUAAUCAAGUUUCCAAGCAUCCGAAUUUUAUCAAACUAGUUGAGUAGGACCCACCAAUAGCUCAAACAUACUCGUGUAAAAGUGUGACCUUAAGUAUGCUCAACAAGUCUUCGAUUAAAAGAGCAUGCAGGUUAUCUUGCUAUAUGGUGAAAGGCAACUUAAUCAUGCAUGGCAUGUGACUCAAUAUUUACCGAGGGAUUUUCUUAUUUUUUACUUAAUUAAGGUCUCAUCCUUGCAUGCAUAGCAUUUAUUAAUUGCAUAAAUAAAUCUAUCUCAUGCAUACUACUUUGGAUGAUUAUGAACUUUAUCUAUACUAAUUUCCUUGAACCAUCAAAGGAAAUUAGCUUGGUCAAACCUAGGAGAAAACAUAUAACAUAUGAUAAUCUUCCUCCUUGUACCUUCAUGGCUCCUUUAGGUCUUUAUCUUCGAAUUAUAAAAUAACUCCUAAACUAAUCCUAAUUCUACACUUAUAUGUAACUAAUUACAUUUUAGUAAAGAAACCUCAUGGUACAUCCGAGAAGAGUUAGGUAAGGAAAGAAUUUUACAAUUCCAGAAAAUCGAGAGAAAGGCAGGAUACGUAGACCCUAUUUAAUAAAUAAAUACCAUGUUAAAAUUUAACCAUACAUCCACAAUCAUAUUAGGCCUAGUCCAUAAUCAUCCAUAUUCAUCCAUCCACAUGAACAUAAAAUUAAAUCUAUGUCUUGUUCAAAUUGUUAAUCACAUGAUUUAUUUGAAAUUAGUUAAAUUUAACUUUUGAAUUAACUUAAUUUCAAAUUUUUGGGUCUCAAUUUCUUUCCAUAUAUAAUGAAACAAUUUCCAUAUAUAGAAAUCCUUACUGAUGAAUAUAAAUAACUUUUAUCCAUAAUCUAAUCUUAUUAGGAUAGGAUUUAUUACAAAUUAAAACAAUUUUAAUUUGCUUUGUCCAAAUAUUUAAGGCUAUCCUUUACCAAUUAGAUAUUAAAGAUUUUAUGUCUUAAAUCACCUAAUCUCAUGUGGUAAUUUUAAGAUAAUAAAAUCUUCAUUUAUCCAAUUGUCAAAUCCGAAUUCCAUAGCUAAUAUCAUGGAGAUAUUCCUCUGAUUUUAAAUUGCCUAUUUAUUCUUAGACUCACAUAAUAUAUAGGAAUCUAGUUCCUUAAUUUAUGGAAGAUUUUAAAAUAAUUUUGACUUCAAUAAAAUUAGGAAACCAAUUCCCAAAUUUAAUAUGUCAAAUCAUUUUAACUUAUCAAUUAAAUAAAAUAAUUAUCGUAUUUUGUAGAAAUUAAAAUCCUUAUUUUGUGGAAACUUUCAAAAUUGAUUUUGAUUUGCUGAUUUUAUGGAACUACUUCCACGAAAUAUCUGAUAAUCAAUUGAUUUUUAAAUUACAUCAAAUUAGGAUGUAAGAUAAGGCAAUUCAAAAGGCCAAAACUGUGGCAUUCAAAAAACUGCUUGCAGUAAUUUUAUUGACCUCGUUUCUUGGACAUUAAUGUAACACCUUGUACCCUCCUAUAGAAGCCAAUACGAUCUUAUCGACAAGACGAAGGGUCAAUUGACGUAAAUUUAACUGCCAAAGAGUAGAGACGAGUGGAAAAGAACAUUUUAGAAUAAAUAAUAUUUUAUUAAGAAAAUAAUAUUAAAAUAUUAAUAUUUUACCUAUUGUUGAAAGUAGUUAUGAAGGAGGACUAUAUGGUUAAUCUAAGUGGGGGAGUAGAAGUAAGAAAGAAUUUUGAAAAAAAACAACAUUAAUGGGGCCCACGUGCCUUCAUUAAAUAAAGCAAGAAAUGGUAAGUAUAUAUUUAAAUAUUAUGGUGACACCUUGGUGGAGUGUCAAUUUGAUAUUUUAUUUCUACAAGUGUAAUGGAAGAAAAAUAGAAGGAAAUUAAAAUUAAAGUAAUUUUUGAAGGACCAAAUUGUAAAGGAUGAAAAGUUAAAGGGUCAAAUGGUAAAUAAGGAAAAAUUUGAGGACUUAUGUGCAAUUUCAACAUUUGAAGUUAAAUGGAAAUUAACUAACCAAGGAAAAUUAGAUUAUGUGGGAGAAUGGAAUAUGCAUGUAACAAAUACUAUUACACGCAAAGAUAUGCAUACAAGGAUGUACUUGUAGUGGGGAACAUGUGGGACCCCCACCAUGUGACAAAUAAAAAGGCAUAAGACAAAAUGAAUAAGAUAACACGUGCAUGUGGAUUUUUAAGUUAAAAGAAUGCAUGGAAAUUUUAUGCAUGAUGGACACUUGGUAACAAGUAGACUAAAAGAAAAGAAAAUAUAGUUGCAUGUAAUGUCAUUGGCCAAGGAGGAGACCAAAUGGAAAUUAAGGUGGAAAACUUGCAUGAAAGACCAUUGGACACAAAUAAGGUGGGAAUUAAGUGAAAAUAAAUUAAAGAAUGGAUAUGGAUAGUAAAGGAGGAUUUUUAACCAAUGUGGAAGAAAGGAUAUUGGUGCAUGAAAACCCAUUGGUUGGCAAAAUGGGCAUACGAAAAUAAAAGGUGAAUGUGUGCAUGUAUUAUGAUUGGUUAAAUGGGUGGCCAUAUAAAUACCAAGAUUCAAAAGUAAAAGAGAAAAGGGAAUUGGUCUUGGUGAGACUUGAGAGAGCCAGCCAUUAAGAGAGGAAAAGAAAGAAGAAAGUGCUUGGACAGAAUCAAAUCUGCCUUUAAUACCCAUAUCUCUAUUCCUCUAAGAUCCCGAAUUCCUUUGCUGAGUUUUGUGCAUCUUAUGCAAACUUUAAUCUGUAAAUUAUUAACAUUAAAACAUGUUUAAUGUUCAUUAAUAAGAAUAUAAAAUUUUACAAAAUAAAACUAUUCAGAAAUAUCAAACAAUUUCAGAAUAGAAUUAUGUAAACUUGAACUCACCAUUUGAUACCCGAAUUUUCACAUCCAUGUCAAACAUAGUAUUAAUAACAACAACACAUACCUUUGCAUUACAACAAGCCAAAGGAGGCUCUGAUACCACUGCUAGGAAUGGCAUGAUUAGAGCAUCAACGUAACGGAAUAAUAAAAAUUGAAAUAAAAUAAAAAACCAUACCUCCUACCUUUGGAUCACCUUGGUUGUUUAAUGCAAAGUCAAGCACCAUAUAAAAUCAAAAAUUUUUUUACCUUUUUAAGUGAUAUCGUAAUCAAAUGGAUUCCUUUUGGUGACAAAAUGUGAACACCUUUUCUGUGAAAGAAUCCCAGCCAACUCAAUCGCUUGGCCUCCAAUGAUGCAUACACGAUUGCAAUUGAUCCUUCUCAAGGAUAGAGCUUUAUGCCAUGGGCUUCUGCUAGCAAGUAGACAAUGAUUUGUCCUCUUUUCUUCUUUGAUUUUCAGCAAAGAAUCAAAGGAGAAGUUUUUAAAAAAAAGAAAAUAAACUUCCCAAGAGUGGCAACACUCUAAAGAAAAAUAUGUUUUUUUUGUUUCCUUUUCCUUAAGAAAAAAAGAGUGGCUAUAAUGUGAUAUUUAUAUCUAGGUUUAACUUAUUAAAAUAUGCAAAAUAAGUUCUUAAUAUUAUAACAAUUAUAAUAUUUAACCAAUACCUAAUUAAACUCUUUUAAUUAGGUCCUUAGCAGUUAAAACCUAGAAUUUGAUUUAAGUUUAACUUAAAUCAUCACAGCCUCAAUUUAAUCCAAAUUGCAACCUUUAUGUGUGACCCAUUAAGUUCCUAACAUGUUGGCAAUGGAAUUGAUUUAUAAUAUUAUUAAUUAAUUAAUUCAAUGAAUCAUAUUCAAUUUUAAAUUAACUAAUUUAAUUCCAUAACCAUGAUUGGCAUUUAGAGGUAGAUCAUGGCCACCCAAUUUUUAGGAGAGUCAAAGGAUUCUUUGACAACCUUUCAGUUUAUAGUUUUUCAGUGUGAUACAUUCCCUCAUCAUAUAUCUCGAAAAUGAUAAGAGCUUGGUGUAGUGCCUACUCUUAUUGAUCUCCAUAUUUGUUCUUGUAGUUAGAUCAUUAGCUUUAUGGAGACUUAUGAAACUCAUUUCAUAAUCUCUUAACCGCUUUGGCUAAGGAUUUGAUUAAGCUAAUGUCAACCAAGAAUUAAUGAGAUAAUUCCCCUUAAGUCACUUGGGGUGAUGAUUUCUAUCUUGACUACUCAUUUGCCUUCAUAUGCUUUAUACUAUACUCAAAAACAUCUUGUUUUGGCAUCCUUGAUUUGGCACCCAUAAGGAUGAAAUCAAAGCAUAGUACUCCACAUAUAAAACAACUGGUGUCUCAAGUCUAGGGAGUAAUUACACAACUGACACAUAAGAAGUAUUGCAUAGACACUUGAGUGAGGUACCAAAUGCACUUCUCAUGGCGAGCCAUGUUCAAUGAACUCGCUCUCCCAUGGCAAGCACCCACAUGCUAGUUCCAAGUAUCUCUAUACUUCAACGUAUGAAAGCGAUUACUUACUUCACAAGUAAGGAACAUAACAUGUGCUAAUCUUUGAACAUUAUUGAUGCCCUGUCUCAAUAAUACAAUGAUCAAGAGCUUUUAGGUGCAAUGCUUUAAUGCAUAAGGAUCUCAUAAUUGUAUCCCAUUACAAUUCAUUCGCAAGGCAUAUAUAAUUCCAUGGGCUUUAUCUACAUAAGUACAAAAAGUAAUUAAAUUACAAACUCAUGGAUAAAGAACUACCUCAAUAUUAUUAUGAAUAACAAAAUGUCAUACAUGAAUAUCUCAAAAUUUGAAUUCCCAUACAACCAUAGAUUGGCUUGUAAGGCUCAUACUAACAGUUAACUAUUGGAAAAGUAUAGAUGAAGGAUUUAUUUUCAACUUUGAAUUAAGGCGUUUAGCCUUUCAUUUUGAUACGCCAUUGGUCUUUUUAAUUAUACAUGGUAUGUUCGAUAAGAAUUCCCACCAAUUAAGGUGAGUGGUGUUUUUAUGUUCUGAAAUGCAUGUGAUGCAUUACGCAUGAUAAUAUGCACUACCAUGGUGCAUUGAAUUGUUAUGUUUACGCCUAGAUGAGUAUGCCUAGGCUAGUAUAUUAUUAAUAUAUGUUCUAUAUGUGUUUGUUUGUGAUUGCUAUUAAAAAGCAUGAGCUGUUAGAUAUCUAGGUGAUGUAUGAUCUUAAUGGCUUUUGGAUAUGCUAUGACUAAGUGUGGUGGUUAUACUACAAUGUGUGAAUGGAUUGCCCAAUUUUUGAUGAAAUGUUGAUGUAUGAUUUGAUGUGAAAUUGCUCUAUAUAUGUGGGUUUAUGUGAUAUAGGUGGGAGGAACUUACUAUGUUAAAUUGUUUAUUUGAGAAUGAUUAAAUUAAUAAUUAUAUUGCAUUAUGGGAACUAGGUUGCCCAAUUGUAUUUGAGAUUAUGAUAUGUAUUUGGAGGUUAUAGCGUAUGAUGAAUAGACAAUGGGAGAAUUACUGUGUUUAUACACAAUUCAAUAUGUGUGAACUUAUGUAUAGUUGAUGUGAAACUGCUGAUAUCUGUGUGGCUAUUGAGUUGUGAUGAUUGACAUGAAUUAUGGUACAUGGAUUAUUAGUGGCAUUGAUGGCCCACAAACUUGAUGAUGUUCUAUCCGAUGGAUGAAUUUCGAACGUUGAUUAAUUUAAGGUUGAGUGGAGUCCGAUACCCCCGUGACUAUUUUCGUGCCUUAGGGAUGGUGAUAAGCAAGGACAGUAGUUGAAAUCCUGCCUAUAGUAUACAAUGCCAUUUGUCAUGAGAUUAGUCCAGAUGAUGAUUGUGAUGCCACCCAUGCGAAAAUACUCCGGUGAUGCCUUUUGUUGGGAUAUUGCCUUAGACGAGGAUUGUGAUGCCGUUCGUGGAGAGAUUGCUCUGGACUAUGACUUUGAUAUUACGCCGGUUGCUUUGGCAAUGGGCAUGAUUUGCUCUUCAUCAAUGGCUUUGCCCUAUGUGUGAUUUGUUUCUCCAUCGACGAGCCACCGUGCAUGAUUUGUUAAUGUUUAGGGGAGGACCACUCAUUGAUUUUGUUUGAUUAUGAUGAUAUAAUAUGUGAGUAUGUGAGUAUUGAUAUAUGUAACUGAAAUGUGGCGGUCAUUUUAUAAUUGAAAUGUGGUCGACAUUUGAUGAAAAGCUUUGAGGGAAGCAAAUCAUAUAUUGAGUUUGGGCUUGUGUUUGGCAACUAAAGUGUGCCUAUGGAGCUUAGUUUGAUAACGGCUUUAAAAAAAAAGGUAAGCCUUAAUUGAUACACUUUGUUAUGGAGACAUAGAUUUGAUUGAACAUGAAUUUGAGUGUGUUGUUGAGAUUUGAUUUUGACAAACAUAAUGUUACGUGCAUGUAAGGUAUUAGAAUGAUUCUCGCACUUGUAUUUUGGAGAUGUUUGAUAAUUUACUACGUAUCUUAUCUAAUAAAUGUGUCUCCAUAUUAUGAAUAUUUACCUCUGCUUUAUUAUACUACGAUAGCAUCCCUAUCUCAUUGAGCAUUAGAUGACUCACCCCUUUGUAUACCAUGUGUAGAUAAGCAACAUAUAUGUGGCUUAGCAUUAUUGUUUCGAUGAAUGAAUUUUGGCAUCCGGUAAGUUUUCCACCCAAUAGUUCACUCUAUUGAGUCCGAUCCAUACUAGCUUUCGCAUGUGAAUUUUAAAGUUUAGAAAAUAAUGUAUUUCAGAUAUUGAAGGCACUGAGUGUCAUGUGGUAUUUUGUACAAAGGGUUGUAUGAUACAAACCCAAUAAUUAGCCUAUGUGCGGCCUUAUGAAUGUUGUAUUAAUGAGUUUAUGAAAUAAAAUAGAUUAUUUAUUUUGCUUAUGAUACCAUGGAUUGAAUAUUGGUCACAUAAAUCCUAAGGCUUACUCGAGUCUUGCAAGCUUUGCUUGCCAAACCCGUGCCCGAUAACAGUCUUUCGAGUUUGAGUCGUGACAAUCUAAGUAAGAUAGAGGUCGUAGAGAACUAGCCAAGGCUAACAACUGUAACAGAGGAUUGGACUUCUCUAAGACUAGCUAGUUACUACAGACACUUCGUCUAAGAUUUCUGCAAGAUAGAAUCUCUUUUUACUAGAUUAACUUGAAAAUGGGUUAAAUUUGAUUGGUUUGAUGCCUACAAGGCAAGUUUCUUGAGACUCAAGGCCUAUGUCACUUUUACACCUAUGUUGAGCCUACCAUCUAGAUUUGAAGGCUGUAUCGUGUAUUAUGGUGCAUCACAGAUUGGUUUGGGUUGUGUAUUGAUGCAACAUGGAUGAGUUGUAGGUUAUGCCUCCCAAAAGCUGAAAAGACAUGAAUUGAACUACCCUAUGCACAAUUUGUUGGCAGUCAUCAUGUUUGCCUUAAAAAUCUAGAGACAUUAUUUAUAUGGUGAGACCUAGGAAAUAUAUAUUGAUCACAAGAGCUUAAAGUACAUAUAGCAAACUCGACUCUACAAUAUGUUUAUUAUGCCAUUCCUACAUAAGAAUGCAUAUUUGCUUACUUCGGUACCUCGAAAAUCAUUAAAGGACGGCAAUGUACCAAAUGGUACAAUUAAGUUGAAUUAAGUCUCGAACUAGUCCAAAUAGAGAUUUUAGGAUGAAAUUGAGAAUUUUAAAACCCCAGAAUGACUUAAAAUGGUGAUUCGGAGUUCGAGGACCGAUUUGGAGUCAAAUUGGAAUUUUUAUGACCUAGGGGCAAAAUGGUCAUUUUGCCACCCAAGGUUAAGAUGUGAGUGUUGGAUGAAAUUUUUGACUAAGAUUGAUCAUUUAGAGUAUAAUUUGAGUUUGAGAAGUGAAGAAUUUUAAUUUCGGCAUUUUUCCAAACAUAAGGGCAAAAUAGUCAUUUUGCCACCCUAGGGGCAAAAUUGUAAGUUUACACCACCCAACACUUGUCCAGCACAUGGAUUUUACCCAAAAUUAUUAUGGAUAAUUGAAGGAUUUUAUGUGGUGGAGAAAGAAAGCUUAAUAGUUAAGAAUUUAAAAAUGGACCAAUGGUAAGGUGACAAGUGUCAAGCUUUUAUUUUUUUAUUAUUUUCCUUAUAAAUUAGCACAAAGCCAGCCCAUUUCUCAUUUUUAUGGCCGGCUAAAGCAAGAACAAAGGAAGAAAAGGAAGAACAAAACCUUAGGUGGAAAAAUUCAAGGGAAAAGUGUGAAAAUUCAAGGAAACAAGUGAAAAAAAGGUAAGAUUUUUCAAUUAAGCUUGAGAUCUCUCUUUCUUAAGCAAAUUUUCUUAUUUUCCAUGGUUGAAUCACAUGAAAUCAUGAUGGGUCUCUUNAUCAUGAAGGAUUCAUGGCUGACUGAAUUUAGAGAAAGAAGAUUUGAUGAUUUAUUUGGUUAGAUUUUGAGAUAUUUUAGUGUUUAUAGUUGAUUGAUCAUGUUUGGAAGGAAAACAAGUAAGAAAAAUCACAUGUUCUUCAUGGAUUCUUCAUUAGCCGAAUUUUCCAUGUAGAGUGUGCAUGAUGAUUUUGAUUUUAUUUCAAGUGAAUUGGUUAGGAAAUGAUGAAUUAUGGUGAGAAAAUCAAGUAGGAAAAAUCAUAGUGUUGAUGCACCCACCAUGGCUGAAUUUUCCAAGAGAAAAUGUGAGGGUGAUUUUUCCAUAUUUCUAAGUUAUCUAACUUGUGUUUGAUGAUUUAGAGAAUUGGAAGAAAAUGGAAUUAUUGGAGUUGAAUUGGACAUAUUGGCUAAUUAAUCGAGUGAUAGAUCGAAUUAUGCCAAUACCAUUUUAUUUAGGUAUACAAUUGAAUUUGUGUAGAACACCGUGUUUAGACGAUAAUCUGAACAAUUUACAUCCCAUUUCAUGCAUUAGUAUAAAGCCUGAAUUGGUUUUAUAAUAAUUUAGCACAAAUGUAGUAAAUGGCUUAUUGUGCAUUAUGUCUAGGUAGUGAGCAUUUUGGCAAAAGUAAAGAGAUAGUACCCGAGGAUCAAGAAUUGGAGUACUCGGAAUUCGACUCCCAAAAUAGUGAGUAACCUUAUUAUCAUCUUGAUUAUCUGAAGUGAAUUUUAAUUCAUUUUUACGAUUUUAUUGAAAAUGAGUUUAAAUGGUAAAUCUUUAUGUUUUAUAAGCAAAAUGUGAUUAAAUGAAAUGAUUUUGUAAAAUUUUCUUGAAAUUGAAAGAUGGUUUUGAAAAUGGAGUAAUUGGAGACUAAUUGUUGUGUUAUAAAUCAUGGUUUGAAUUGAAUGGCUUAUGAUAAUAUUGGCAUGAAUGGUUGGAUUUGCUAAAUGUGCUGAAAAAGUAUGAACUAUUGAUUUGCCUUGAGAGGCUAUAAAAUAAAAUAAUUGCCAUGUCAUGCUGUUGAAUUUUAUUGAAUUGGUGGUUAUAAUUGGUCGCUGCAGUAGACGGGUUCCGUGGACCAGCCUAUUAGAGGGGCACGAUAACCCUAUUAUAUUCAUACCUCAAUAUGAGAGGCGCGGUUGGAUAACUCCUAAGGUUAAAACUUUAGAGUUCACUUCACGCCAUAUCACUACCCGAUACUCCCCUCGAGCCCGUGACAACCACCGCAGUGUCCAGAUAGACACUCAUUAUCCGGAAUGCCAACCGGAACCCCGCAAGGCUUUAAUAUCAAUUUUUCAUUUCCCUUGUGAGUAACCGUUGCCAAAUAUCACAUUCUAAAAGAUUUUAAACUAUUUCCAAAUCAAAAUAAUAGAAAAACAAUUUUUUUCUCACAAGGGCAUUUUGGUCAUUUUUUCAUAAAAAUCUCGAAAUCCGCUAAAAAUAUAGAAUGCGAGUACAAAAAACAUAAUUCAUAAUCAAAAAUAAAUUUGGAUGUCUAAAACAUUCGUUUAAAAUGAAAUUAUGACUAUUAGAAUAAAAUAAAAAUAUUGAAUAAAAUAUUUAAUUUUCUCAUAAAACAAUAUUUUUAGAACACUGCAUAAAUAAUUUUUACAACAUAAAAGCAAAAUAAAUUCAUAUAUAUUGUAAUAUAGUAAGCCGGAGUAUUUAAUUUAAUUUACAGUAACAAGUGGGCCCUCGAAUAACCAAAAGUAAGAAAGAUUGUGAACCUACAGUUUGGAGGAUGCAAAUCUAAUGGUAGCCUCGAUGAAAUUAGCUAUCUAUAGACUAUCCUAAGCCUGACAUGGGUGAAAAGGAGGGUGGUGAGAUUAUAUAAUCCCAGUGAGUAAACAAAUACGAUCUAAAAUAUCUAAAGCUGAGUAAAUAGAGACAGAUGAAAUAAUUUAACAUAUUGUAAUUUAUCACCUUUCAACUCGUUUCAACCAAAUAAAAUCAAUUCAUAUAAAUCGAGUAAUCAACAUGGCCUAUGAAUUUCUUAAAACUUUGGCUCGUGCCAAAAUCAUUCUCAUACUCAGUUAUUAGGGAUACCUUGGCCGAGGGCUAUCCCAACCGAGACCACCAAGGCUGUUAAAAAGUUAUGUACGCAUAAAUCGUGUUUUUAUUUUGAAAACAUAGUUGUUCCUUGGCAUUGGCUGAGUUCACCCUCACGUGGUGGUUGGGCGUGAAGUGAACUCUAAAGUGUUAACCUCAAGAGUUAUUCAUCCGCGCCUCUCACUGGGGUAUGAAUAUAAUAGGAUUAUCGUGCCCCUCUAAUAAGCUGGUCCACGGAACCCGUCCACUGUAGCGACUAAACCCACCAUAUAAUAAAAUUUACAAUAGCAUUACAUGGCAAUUAUUUUAUUUUACAGCCUCUCAAGGCAAAUUAACAGUUCAUACAUUUUCAAUACAUUUAUCAAAUCAACUAUUCAUGCCAAUAUUAUCAUAAGCCAUUAUAUUCAAACCAUGAUUUAUAACACAGCAAUUAGUCUCCAAUUACUCCAUUUUCCAAAACCAUCAUUCAAUUUCAAGACAAUUGUAUAAAAUCAUUUCAUUUAAUCACAUUUUGCUUAUAAAACAUAAAGAGUUGCCAUUUAAACUCAUUUUCCAUAAAAUCGUAAAAUCGGAUAAAAAUCACUUUAGAUAAUUAAGACGAUAGUAAGGUUACUCACUAUUUCGGGAGUCAAAUUCCAAGUACUCUGAUUCUUGAUCCUCGGGUACUAUCUCUUUACUUUUGCCAGAAUGCUCACCACCUAGACAUAAUGCACAAUAAGCCAUUUACUACAUUGUGCUAAAUUGUUAUAAAACCAAUUCAGGCUUUAUACUAAUGUAUGAAAUGGGAUGCAAAUUGUUUAAAUUAUCGUCUAAACACAGUGUUCUACACAAAUUCAAUUAUGUACCUAAAUAAAACGGUAUUGGCCUAAUUCGAUCUAUCUCUCGAUUAAUUGGCCAAUAUGUCCAAUUUAACUCUAAAUAAAUUCCAUUUUUCUCCCAAUACUCUAAAUCAUCAAACACAAGUCAAAUAGCAUAAAAUCUAGCAAAAUCAUUUUCACAUUUUCUCUUGAAAAAUUUAGCCAUGGUGGGUGCAUCAAUACUAUGAUUUUUCCUACUUGAUUUUCUCACCAUAAUUCAUCAUUUCCUAACCAAUUCACUUGAAAUAAAAUCAAAAUCAUCAUGCACACUCUACAUGGAAAAUUCGGCUAAUGAAGAAUCCAUGAAGAACAUGUGAUUUUUCUUACUUGUUUUCCUUCCAAACAUGAUCAAUCAACUAUAAACACUAAAAUAUCUCAAAAUCUAACCAAAUAAAUCAUCAAAUCUUCUUUCUCUAAAUUCAGUCAGCCAUGAAUCCUUCAUGAUAUCUUGUGAUUCAACCAUGGAAAAUGCAGAAUAAUGCAUGGGAAAGGUAGAUCACAAGUCAAAAUCAAUAAAUUUUACCUUUGAUUGCUUGAUUACUUGAAUUUUCACAAUUUUCCCUUGAAUAUUUCCACCUAGGGUUUGUGCUCUUCUUUUCUUCCUUUAUUCUUGCUUUGGCCGGUCAUAUGAAGAGAAUUGGGCUGAUUUUAUGUUGAUUUUUAAGCCAAAAAAAAUAAAUGGAUAUAAAUUUGACACAUGUCACCAUUCCAUUGGUCCAUGUGUCAUACUUAGCCACUAAGCAAUCUCUCUCCGCCACUUAAAUUUCUUAAUUAUCCAUGAUAAUAUUGGGUAAAAUCCAUGUGUUGGACAAGUGUUGGGUGGUGUAAAAUUAUAAUUUUGCCCCUAUGUGGCAAAAUGAUUAUUUUACCUCUAUGCUUGAAAAAAUGCCGAAAUUAAAAUUUUUCACUUCUCAAACUCAAAUUAUGUUCUAAAUAGUCAAUCUUGAUCAAAAACUUCUUCCAACAUUCCAAUUUUAACCUAGGGUGGCAAAAUGACCAUUUUUCCCCUGGUUCAUGAAAAUUCCAAUUGGACUCUAAAUCGGUUCUCGAACUCCGAAUCACCAUUUUAAGUCAUUCUGGAGUUUUAAAAUUCUCAAUUUCAUCUUAAAAUUUUUAUUUGGACUAGUUUGAGGCUUAAUUCAACUUAAUUGUACCAUUUGGUACAAUAUCGUCUUUCAACGAUUUUCAAGGUACCUAAGUAAGCAAACAUGCAUUCUUAUGUAGGAAUGGUAUAAUAAACAUAUUGUAGAGCUGGGCUUGACACGCCAAACCACCACGUGAAGGUGAACUCAGUCAACUCCAAGGAACGACUAUGCUUUCAAAAUAAAAACAUGAUUUAUGUGUACAUAACUUUUUAACAGCCUUGGCGGACUCGGUUAGGAUAGCCCCAAGCCAAGGUAUCCCUGAUAACUGAGUAUGAGAAUGAUUUGGCACGAGCCAAACUUUUCAGGAAAUCAUAAGCCUCAUUGUUUAUUUUGGUGAAAUGAAUCCAUUUUAUUUUAUUAAAAUGAGUUCGAAAUGCUAAGAAUCAAUUUUUAUGCUAAUAUAUUUUAUCUAUCUCCAUUUACUCGGCUUUAGAUAUUUUAGAUGGUAUUUGUUUAGUCACUGAGAUUAUAUAAUCUCACCACCCUCCUUUCUACCCAUUUUAGGCUCAGGAUAGUCGGUAAAUAGCUCAUUUCGUUGAGGGCUAUAGUUGGACUUCCAUCCUCAAAAACUGUAGGUUUACCGCUUUUGAUACUUUUGGUCAUUCGUGGGCCCACAUGUCACUGUAAAUUAAAUUUUAUACUUUGGUUAUCUAUAUUACAGUAUGUAUGAAUUUAUUUAGCUUUUACGCUACAAAAAAUAUUUACUGAUAACUCUAUAAAUAUUGUUUUAUAAGAAAAUAGAAUAUUUUAUUAUAUUCAAAUAGUCAUAAUUUCAUUUUAAAUGAAGGUUAUAGACGUUGAAACUUAUUUUUGAUUAUGAAUUAUGUGUUUUAUACUCGCAUACUACAUUUUUAACUGGUUUCGAAAUUUUCGAGAAAAAAUGACUAAAAUGCCCUUGUGAGACAGAAAUCAUUUUUUUUAUUGAUUUAAGUUGAAAAUAGCUUAAAAUCUUUUAGAACAUGAUAUUUGGCAACGGUUACUCAUAGGGGAAAUGAGAAACUGACAUUAAAGCCUUGCAGGGUUCCGAUUGACAUUCCAAGUAAUGAGUCUCAAAUCAGGACACCGCGUCGGUUGUCACUAGCUCGAAAGGAGUAUCGGGUCAUGACAAUAUAUUUCAAAAGUGGGACCUAAAUUUAAGGCAGUGUAGGUGGUUAGAGUUGUUGAAAGACUAUGAUUGCACCUACACUACAGCAUUUUCCUUGUCGGGAUGUUAGAGUAUGGUGUAGAUAUAGUCUUUCAACAGCUUUAACCACCUACACAAGUCCCACUUUUGAAAUAUAUACUUCAAGAUCUUGUGAUCAAUAUAUAUUUCCUAAGUCUCACCAUAUAGAUAAUGUCUCCAAAUUUUUAAACCAAAAUUGAUGGGGAGUUUAGCUCAUGUUAUAGUAAAAAGACGAUCUUUGGUGUAGAGUUUGUAUGAUUUGGGCAAUAUGUGGGUACAUUUUGAGGUUAAUGAUUCAAAUGCCUUAUUGGUCCACUUUGGAGUUCGAUCGGUGACCAUGGAUAGGAUUAGAAAUGCCUAGAAUCAAGAUGAAUUUUUGAUAAAAAUCUUUGGAGAUAUGAGUGAAGAUAAAGCUUAGGACUUUGUCUAUGGCACUGAUGGUUUAGAUAGGUAUCGAUCAUGAGUUUAAGUGUCAGAUUUUGAUAAUUUAAAAGAGGAAAUACUAAAAGUAGCUCACAUUGUAGCCUAUGCCAUACACUUGAGAGCCACUAAGAUGUAUCACUAUUUUAAGCUUGUUUACUAGUGGCCAAGGUUGAAGAAAGACGUAGCUGAGUACGUCUCUAAGUGUUUGGUCUGUCAAAAAGUGAAAAUCAAAUAUCAAAGGCCUUCAGGACUACUGCAACCAUUAUCGAUAAUUGAGAACAUGUAGUAAUAGACAUUGUAAUGGGUUUUCCUAGAGCUAGGGGAGGUUAUGAUGCCAUUUGGGUGAUAAUUGAUUGACUAACGAAAUUAGCUUAUUUCUUGCUAGUCAAGAUGACUUUUGGAGCAGCUCGAUAUGCCCGAAUCUAUAUCGAAGAGAUUAUAAGGCUAUGUGGUGUUCUGAUUACCAUAGUGACUGACAAGGGACCACAAUUUACUAAUCGAUUUUGGAAGAAGCUGCAAGAAGCCUUAGGUACAAGGCUUAAUUUUAGUAUGACCUAACAUCCGUAGACUGAUGGCCAGUCAAAGCGUAUGAUACAAACACUCAAAGAUAUGUUGAGAUAAAUCAUACUUGAUUUUAGAGACUCAUGGAAUCUUUAUUUGCCAUUGGCUGAGUUUGCGUACAACAAGAGUUAUCAAUCUAACAUAGGUAUGGCACCAUUUGAGGCCUUGUAUCGGCAAAAGUGUAGGUUGCCUAUUGGUUGGCUUGAGGUCGAAGAGAGAAAACUCUUAGAGCCAGAGAUGGUCCAAGCAACUAUAGAUGGUGUCUGUAUACUCUGAGAAAAGAUGCUAUCAUCUUAAAGUCGACAGAAAUCAUACGUUGAUAGCAAGUGAAAGCUUUCGGAGUUAAAGAUUGAAGACUACAUGUUCUUAAGAAUUUUGCUGACCAAGGGAGUUAAGAAGUUCAGCAAUAGAGGAAAAUUGAGCCCAAGGUACAUUAGAUCGUUUUAAGUUUUCGAGCGCAUAGGCACAAUUGCAUAUCAGUUAGCAUUACCACUAAGCAUGUCCAAUGUUCAUUUGAUUUUCUAUGUAUCCAUGCUUAGGAAAUAUGUUCCCAAUCUUUCGCAUGUAAUUUGGUAUGAUAAGGUUCAAUUACAAGAUAGACUUACGUAUGAGGUGCAGCUCGUAGCCAUUUAGAUUGGCAAGUAAAAUGGCUUCACUCCAAGGAUAUUGUUUCAAUAAAAAUGUUAUGGCAAAGCCACUGAGUUGAAAAAGCAACAUGUGAAUUGGAGGAAGACAUGCAGUCAAAUUAUUCAUAUCUCUUUGAAAUUUAAGGUACAAUCUUGAUGCAUACACUUGAGUUAAAUUUGAGGAUCAAAUUUUUAUAAGGAAGGGAGGAUGUAAGGCCCUUAACUUUGAUAAAUGUUGUUUGUGGAUUGUGUUAAGGUAUUUGAUGAGCUAACAAGUGAUUUGAGGCAUGAUUGGAAAUUUUAAAUUGAUAAAUAUGUGUUUAAAGGUUUUAAAAGAUGUGCUUGGGGUUAUAUGUUAGUAAUGUGAAGUAUGCUUGUUGGAUGUUUGAUGUUUGAUAAGUUAAACAUGAGUUGGUAAAGUCAAAGAUAGAAUUAGAAGGUUGGAAAUGUGACAUUUUUAGUUUUUGGAGGUUAUCUAUCGAUAGAAUCACUAAAUCUAUCGAUAGAUACGAACUCGAGAGCAAAGCGAAACUAUUGGACGAACAUUUAUGAUAUCUAUCAAUAGAUAUCAACCCAAGAGCAAAUGCAAGCAAUUUGGACCAAAUCUAUUAAUAGAUUCAUCGAAUCUAUCGAUAGAUAGCAACCCAAGAGUAAAUUGAAAGUGUCCAAUGUGCCAACUAUUGAUACACAACCCUAUCUAUUGAUAGAUGGAGUUUGAAAUGUUAAAACUCACGGGGAAUCUAUCGAUAAAUGCACCCAUAUUUUGAUAGAUGCAUGUACUAGUGCAAAAAAUAUAUAAGAUAUGGGCAUUCUGCCCAUUUGAAACAAAGAGAAAUAAAGCCUUUCUUUGCUAAAGAACAAAAUUCCCUAUUUUCCUUGGAUUGAAGGAAGCUCAUUUAACGUGCUUGAGAGCUUGGAAAAUAAUUAUUGAGGUAAGAUCAAGCUUUCCCUUAACUAGAAAUUCACUUUAAACUGUUUAAAAGUGAAAUGUUAUUUGUUGUUUCAACUUAAUUAUGUAUUCUUAAAGCUAAACGAAAUUUUGGAGAAUGGUAGGAGUAAUGUAGUUUUCCAUGCUCAGAACAAGCUACCUAACUACUUUGGUUCUCAUUUAAUCGAUUUAGUUUCUCUAGUAAUUGUUUCAUUGAGAAAAGCUAUGAUUUGGUUUGUAAGGAACCAAAGUUCUAGAAGUUUGAUGCUUUGGGGAAAUCCCUAGAAGGUAAGGAUUGUGUAUAUUUGGAAAUGUUGAGAUGAAAAAUUAAAGUUGUUAGUGUAUAAUGGUAUUGGAAAUGAGCUAGAAUUUGAGUAGAGAACCAUUUGUUUAAGUUUGAAAUUUAUGAACUAAUGUUAAGCUAAAAAUUUAACUAAAAAUGAAUGGAUAAUUAAUUUGUUGACUCCAUGAGUUUUUAAUGAUAACAUAACAUUCCCAUUCAUUAAUGUCUAAUUAUACUACUUGAGUGUGCAAGAUAAAAAUGUAUGUCACUUAAUGAAAUAAUCACUUUAAAGCAAACAUCAAAACUCAUCAGAAUAAAGGGUCACAAAAUGAGUUACAAAUAGAAGCCUCUUAGUAGGUUAACCAAGGGAGUUAGUUAGCUAAAAUCCAAGAGUAAAGAUCCAAAGUGAAGGCAGUCAAAUUUGUGAAGAACAAUUCAAGAAGUCUCACUGACUAACAUAUCUUAUGGCUGUUUAAGGGCAAUGGAAGAUUAGCAUUAACCAGCUAAGAGAAGAAUUAGUCAAAUAAAGAAAAGUUGGUGAAAUUGGUUGCUCUAAAAACAGUAAGCUCUUAAUUGGUUAAAAUCUUUCUUAACAUAUUAAUAGAGUAAAGAAAACUAUGAGGCAAAGAAGACUUAACUGACUAAGAAGUAUGGUUAGCUAGCUAAAAGCACAUUGUUAGAAAUUUUGAAUUUGAAUGUCUGAAGACAAACUAACGGCUAGAAAGGAUUUCAAACUGUUUUUAAUGGUCUAAAGCUGUCAAACAUCCAUCAAAGCUGAUUUUUCAAGUAUGAAAGGCAUCUAUAACGGCUAAGAAGAUCAUUGAAUACUUCCAAGAACUAAAAAGAAUUAAGAAUUGCAAAAAUCGUCUCACUCUUUCUUCUUGUAUUUCACUCAAAUCUUUGUAAUAGAGUUUAACACCUCAUCUUGUAUCAUUCAGAUCAGGUUAGCACUCAUAAGUACAUUUUCAUAUCUGUAUUCCUUGAUUACUUAGAGUGUGCGAGGCACUCUAAGGGAUUUGAUCAAGCUUGCGAUAGCUUGGUUGUUGUUCUAAGUUCUAACUUAGCCUUAGAAAAAUUAGUUUAGGUUUUGGUUGAUCCCAAGAAAAACCAUUGUAAAAGGUUGUAGCUAAGACUAUGAAAAGCUAUAGUAAAAGCUUGGUGGAAGCUUGUGAAUUCCAUUAGAUUUAGUGAAGUAAUUUGGAAAUCCUUGGUUAGGAGAUCAAGGUCGUGAACAUAGGUCAAAGGGACCGAACCAUUAUAAAUCAUUAUUUUUUGUUUACUUUCCUCUAUUUUCUUCUCACUCUUGACACUUAAAUCAUUCUUCCAACAAGCUUUAAACUUCCACUUUCAAAUUCCCUUCAUUAGCUCUUAACUUAGAAAGAAUUUGCUUAUCAUUUGAAAAGUGCUAUUCACCCCCCCUUAGCACACUCUUUACAACCAACAUAACUAUGUGUUGAAUUAUCCUUAGAUCACCAUUGGAACAGGAAUUGAUAAAAGCUAUUCUAUUAGAAAUAAGGAAAUUAGAAUUAGUUGCCAUAAGAAAACCACUUAUCACAGUGAAUGGGGCAUUUUGUUUGAAUAUUAAGAUUAAUGCAUGUUUGCAUAACGCAUGUAAAUGCAUUUUCAUGGAACAUGAUGCUAGGAACAGCAUGAUUAAAGCAUCAAUGCAAUGAAAUAAAUAAAAACCAUGCUUACUACCUUUAGAUCACCUAGGUUGUCUAAUGCAAAGUUAAGCAUCACAUAAAAUUAGAAAAAGUUUUACCUUUCUAAAUGAUAUCGCAAUCAAAUGGAUUCCUUUUGGUGACAAAACGUGAACACCUUUUGUGUGAAAGAAUUCCAGCCACUCAAUUGCUUGGCCUCCAAUGUUGCACACAUGAUUGCAACGAUUUUCCUCAAAGAGAGAACUUUAUGCCACGGGCUUGUGCUAGCAAGUAGACAACAAUUUGUCAUCUCUUCUUCUUUGAUUUCCAGCAAAGAAUCAAAGGAGAAGUUUUCCAAGAAAAAAACUUCUCAAGAGUGGUGACACUCAAGUGAAAAACCUUUUUUUUUCUGUUGUUUUUUCUCUCUAUUGAAAAUACUAGCUAUAAUGUGAUAUUUAUAUCUAGGUUUAACUUAUUAAAAUUUACAAAAUAAGUCCUUAAAAUUAUAACAAUUAUAAUAUUUAACCAAUACCUAAUAAACUCUUUUAAUUAGGUCCUUAGUAGUUAAAACCUAGAAUUUGAUUUAAGUCUAACUUAUAUCAUCACACCCUCAAUUUAAUCCAAAUUGCAACCUUUGUGUGUGACCCAUUAGGUUCCUAACAUGUUGGCAAGGAAAUUGAAUUAUAAUAUUAUUAAUUAAUUAAUUUCAAUAAAUCAUAUUCAAUUUUAAAUUAACUAAUUCAAUUCCAUAGACCAUGAUUAGCAUCUAGCUGUGAGACCUCAACCUCUACAGACCCAUAACUAGCAGUAGACGCGAUAACACGGACCAGGGGCAAUUUCAUCAUUUCUCAUGGUGAGCUCUUGAAAGUAGCUUUCAAAUGUUAUUAAGCUGUAAAUAGACCUAAGGAAUAAAUGAAUGAUGGUAAAAUCAAUAAAGAAGAUAGAAAUAUUGAUAAUUUUCACGAUAGGGGCAAAACGAUCAUUUUGCAUCUCGAGUCAAAAUUUUUUAGUUUUCGUGAACUCGAGUAUUUCGAGACUCUUAUGGACCUUGUCUCAGUGUCAAAGAAGUGAAAAAGAUUGUAUAAAGGCAAUAGAAAGACAAAUGACUUUGUUAAGGGCAUUUUGGUAAUUACGUGAGAAGAUGGAUAAACAUAAGGCAUAAAUAUCUAAGCUUCUAGCAAGUUCUUCAAAUUUCUAGCAACUUCUUCUUCUUCUUCUUCCUUUCUCACAAUUUCUUACCUUCCAUGGAAGCCUCUUUUAAAGCUUCCAUAACUUUCUCUCUCUAGCUUCAAUUUUCAUGCUUUUGAGCACUUUUUCAUAUAACCUUUUAUGCUCUUUCACUCUCCCACCUUAUAAACCCUCAAAAGUCUUUGUUCAGUGCUUUCUCUCACUAGCUAGAAGUUUAAGAGAGAGAAAGAGAGACUUGCCGUAAUAGCUUGAAAACUCUUGAAAAGGAGUUCAACUAUAAGUCCGCUAAGGUGAGAGAUGAGUUAGAGUUGAUUUUAGGUGGUUAAAGAUGGCUAAUAAUUAGAAUUGUGGGCUGUUAUAUUUUUUAUGGUUAUAUUGUGUGUGAUAGGUUCCAACGAGGCCUCACAUGUCCGUUUGAAGCAAUAAUCGAAGUUAGAGUUAAUUAAAGGUUCAACAAAUAUCGGUGAGUGAACUUGCAUCAAAGUGUUUUUGGGAAUUACGUAUGUAUUGGGAUGAAGCCUUUAAAUGAUUUUACUUGGUUUUCAUUAAAUUAUGCAUGGGAACAAGCCCUUGAUAAAAUGUUUUGAUGUUGUGAAAAUGGAUAGUGUGAUAAAUCCAUAUGUUUUUGUAUAAUUGAUAUAUAUAUAUAUAUACUAUGUCAUAAAUGGUACCAUUGCGUGACAAAUGCAACCGUGCAUGUGCGGGGUGAGUGUGCACCUGUCGGUGAUGAUGGUGGUGAAGGAGAUGGAUGGUGAUAUUGCCCGUGUGCACAAUGUGGGGGGAUGUACACGAUGGGAUUAACUGUGCACGAUGUGGGGGGAUGCACAUGAGCUGGGUGAGAUGGGGUGGUGUACGUGUUUAUAUAUGUUUAUAUAUAUAUAUGUGAUAGAAAGUUUAUUAUUAUAAUAUGUGAUUGAAAUGAAUAAUGAGAAACUUGAUUAUUAUCAAUGUGUUCACUUUGAUGUGCAAUAUGGUAGGAAUGGAUUUUGUGGCAUGUGGAAAUCCCUUAAUUGUCUCAUCUACCCUGAAUCUCGCUGCAGCAAGAAGCUCUUAGGUGGUGGGGGCACAACCAGUCUUGUGUCUCACUGCAAUGAAAAAGAAUUCUCCCUCCAGCGAUGAAUUUCACUACAGCGAAAAUGGAACUCGCUGCAGCUAGAAACUCUCAGGUAGUUCCAAAUUCUUUGUGCAAUGCUUCCAAUUUAACAAUGAUUUUGACCACCUUCCAAUCAGAAUUGGGUAAAAUGGUAAACAUAAAAGUUGUAGCCCAACCUCUUAUCUUUCUAAUGGUCAAAAUCAGGUCAAUUGGAUUUCUUUAGUAGGAGAUAUUCUAGAAACACCAAAACAUGUGCAAACUAAGAUUGUUUCUCGCUGCAGCGAGAAACUUACUGCCCUUGUUUCUACCUUGCUUGAUUUUGACAUAUUUUUCACCCAUUUAACUUUAUAGAUUGACCGUGGGUUUUUGCAACACUAUGAGGUUAUUAAUCAAAGUUGAAUAUGAGGGGUUUUUAGUAAGAAAUUAAAUCAAUUGCAUUGUUUUUGAAACAAUUACAUCAUGAUUUCCAGGUUCUCCUUAUCGAUUGCUUGUUCCCUUCUUAUGUUCACUCACUAAGUUUUAUACUCACAUUUUUAAACUUCAUGUUUUCAGAUUUAGAGGUAGUUAGAACCUAGAUUGAGUUGUCCACAUAUGCUUGCCUUUUGGGUAGGUACUAUGGCAUCUCAGUAGCUGUACCUUCACCCACGGUCAAGGGUCUGUUACUUGUGAACACACAUAUGUAAUGAAAUCCGCUAGUAUCCAUGUUAUAAGUCAAAUAUAUAUAUUUGAUUACUGAUGCCACUAGGAGUUGGCAAACGGGUGACAUUAUUUUGACAUAAUAAAAUUUUAAGUAUUGGGUCACUAUAAAAUGCUACUGAAAUAUUUUAGUAGAGAAUUACAAUAUGUGAUUUUAGAAAUGAUGGUUGGGACUGAUGAUCGAGAUUGCAUAAAAAGGGCUUGCUUGGGCUUAGUGGGCUAUGCCCAUUAGGCCUAUACAUCGAUCAUGGCUCGGGAUUUGGGUUGUGACACUAGCAAUGCAUCAUGGCCCCCCAAUUGUUAGGAGAGUCGAUGGAUUCUUUGACAACCUUUCAGUGUACAGUUUUUCAAUAUAAUUCAUUCCCUCAUCAUAUAUUCUGGAGAUGAUAAGAGUUUGGUGCAACGCCUACUCUUAUUGGCCUCUAUAUUUGUUCUUGCAGUUAGAUCAUUAGCUUUAUAGAGACUCAUGAAACUCAUUUCAUAAUAUUUUAAUCACCUUGGCCAAGGAUUUGAUUAAGCUAAUGUCAACCAAAAACGAAUGAGAUAUUUCCCCUUGAAUCACUACGGUGAUGAUUCCUAUCUAGACCACUCAUUUGCCUUCAUUUGCUUCAUACUAUACCCAAAAAUAUAUUGUUUUAGCAUCUUUGGUUAGUCACCCAUAGGGAUGAAAUCAAAGUAUAGUAUUCCACAUACAAGACAACUUGGUGUCUUAAGUCUAAGGAGUAGGUGCAUAACUGACACAUGAAAAGUAUUGCAUAAACACUUGAGUGAGGGACCAAAUGCACUUCUCACGGCAGGUCAUGUUCAGUGAACUCGUUCUCCCAUGGCAAGCACCCAUAUGCUAGUUUCAAGUAUUUCUAUACUUCAACCUAUGAGAGAAAUUGCUUACUUCACAAGUAAGGAACAUAACAUGUGCCGCUCUUUAAGCAUUAUUGAUGCCCUGUCUCAAUAAUACAAUGAUCAGAAACUUUUAAGAACAAUGCUUUGAUACAUACGGAUAUCAUAAUUGUAUCCCAAUACAAUUCUUUUAUAAGGCAUUUAUAGUUUCAUGGGCUUUAUCUACAUAAGUACAAAAAAUAAUUAAAUCACAAACUUAUGGAUCAACAACUACCUCAAUGUUAUUAUGAAUAACAAAAUGUCAUACAUGAAUAUCUCAAAAUUACAAUUUUUGUUCCACCACAUGUCAAGCCCUACUCUAUAAUAUACUUGCCAUGUCAUUCAUGUAUUUGACAACAUGCUUACAUACUUGAAUACCUCAAAAAAAUCGUCAAAAGUCGGUAGUGUACCUAGUGGUACAACUAAGUUGAUUUAAGCCUCAAACUAGUUCAAAUAGAGAUUUUAGGAUGUAUUUGAGAGUUAUUGAACCUUAGAAUGUCUUAAUAUGGUGAUUCGGAGUUCAGGGAUUGAUUUGGAGUUAAAAUGGAAUUUUCAUAACGUAGGGGUAAAAUGGUCAUUUUUUCACCCGAGGGAAAAUUUGGGAUGGUGGAUGAAAUUUUGAUCAAGUUUGACUAUUUGGAACAUAAUUUGAGCUUGAGAAAUGAAAAAUUUUAAUUCUAAUAAUUUUUCGAACAUAAGGGCAAAAAGGUCAUUUCACGUGUCUAUAAGGACGUAAUUAGAAUUUUUGGAAUUUUACACCACCUUGACACUUGUCAAACCCAUGAAAUUCAUUUUAUACUUUGGAUAAUUGAGGGAUUUUAUGUGGUGGAGAAGAAAUGCUUAAUUAUUAAGUUUUAUGUAUAGACCAAUCACAUGGUGACAAGUGUCAAGCUUUAAUAUUAUUAUAUUUUCCUUUAUAAACACAACUAAAACUCUCCCAUCUCAUUUCUCUUGGCUGGUCAAGGCAAGAACAAAAGGGAAAAAGCAUAGAACAAACCCUAGAGAAGAAAAUCAAGAGAAAAUUCAUUGGAUUUCAAGGAAUUAAGCAAGUAAAGGUAAAAUUUCUUAAUUCUAGCUUGUGAUCUACCUUUCCUAUGCAUUCUUUUUCAAUUACCAUGGUUAAAAUUCAAGAUCUCAUGAAGGAUUCAUGGCUGACCGAAUUUAGGGAGAGAAGAUUUGAUGAUUUAUUUGGUUAGAUUUCAAGGUAUCUUAGUGUUUUUAGUUGUUUGGUGAUGUUUAGCAUGAAAAACAAGCAAGAAAUUUCAUGCCCUUCACCCACACUCCUUGGCUGAAAUUUUCAAGAGAGAAAUUGGAUAAUGGACUUUGAUGAAUUUCAUGCUAUUUAGGUGUUUUUAGUUGUUUUAUGAUGUAAGGUGUAAAAAUCAAGCAUGAAAAUUACAUGUUCUACACUAAACCUUCAAUGGCCGAAUUUUACAAGGAAGAUAUUGAUGAUGGAUUUUUGUGAUAUUACAUAUUAUUUAACUUGUAAUUGAUGACUUGGAGUGUUGGAAGUGGAAUCAAGUUAAUUGGAGUUGAAUUGGAUGUAUUGGCCAAUUAACCGGUGUAUAGAUCGAAUUAGGCCAAUACCAUUUUAUUUCGAUACAUAAUUGAAGCUACGUAGAACACCAUAUUUAGAUAAUAAUCCGAACAUUUUGCAUCCCAUUUCAUGCAUUCAUAUAGAGCCUAAAUUAGUUUUAUAAUGAUUUAGUACAAAUAUAGUAAAUUGCUUGUUGUGCAUUAUGUUUAGGUAGUGAAACUUCUGAUAAGGGUAAGGAAAUUGUACCCGAAGAUCGGGACGACUCCUGAUAUUGUGAGUAACCUUAUUAUCGUCUUAAUAAUCUAAAGUAGUUUUUCUUCGUUUUUGUGAUUUUAUAGAAAAAUGAGUUUAAAUAGUAAAUCCUUAUGUUUUAUAAGUAAAAUGUGGUUAAAUGAAAUGAGUUUUAUAAAUCAUUUUGAAAUUGAAUGAUGAUUUUAGAAAUUGAGUAAUUGGAGACUGUUUGAUUGUGUUGUAAAUUUAUGGUUUGAAUUGAAUGGCUUAUGGUGAUAUUGGCAUGAAUGGCUAAAUUGGAAAUUGUGUUGAAAUUGCAUGAACUGUUUGUUUUGCCUUAACAGGCUGGGUAGUAAUAUAAUUGCCAUGUCAUGUUGUCAAAAUUUUUAUUGAUUUGGUGGGAUAUUGAUUAGUCACUACAGUGGUGGGUUUCCGUGCACCAGCUUAUUAGAGAGCGGCACAGUAAACCCAAUUAUAUUUUACUUCGGUAUGAGAGGCGCGGAGAGUAUCUCCUGAGGUAAAGCUUUAGAGUUCACUACACGCUAAACCACCACGUGAGCGUGAACUUAGUCAAUGCCAAGGAACGGCUAUGCUUUUAAACAUAAAAAUGUGUUUUAUGCGUAUAUGAACUUUUCUUUAACAGCCUUGGCGGACUCGGUUGGAUGCCCUGGCCAAGGUAUCCCUGAGAAUGAGUUUUUGGCACGAACCAAAAUUUUUAAGAAAUUCAUAAGUCGUGUUGAUUAUUUGAGUGAAAUGAAAUUAUUUUAUUUAGUUGAAAUGAGUUUGAAACGUUAUGAAUCAUAGUACGAU
Molecule: long non-coding RNA, 40670 nt
Filed under: Theobroma cacao (cacao)
Lineage: Eukaryota; Viridiplantae; Streptophyta; Magnoliopsida; Malvales; Malvaceae
Description: long non-coding RNA (TCAC_LNC001034)
Source: RNAcentral